AACGAACGCUGGCGGCGUGCCUAAUACAUGCAUGUCGAGCGCAGGAAAUCGACGGAACCCUUCGGGGGGAAGUCGACGGAAUGAGCGGCGGACGGGUGAGUAACACGUAAAGAACCUGCCCUCAGGUCUGGGAUAACCACGAGAAAUCGGGGCUAAUACCGGAUGGGUCAUCGGACCGCAUGGUCCGAGGAUGAAAGGUCCUUCGGCGUCGCCUGGGGAUGGAUUUGCGGUGCAUUAGCUAGUUGGUGGGGUAAUGGCCCACCAAGGCGACGAUGCAUAGCCGACCUGAGAGGGUGAUCGGCCACACUGGGACUGAGACACGGCCCAGACUCCUACGGGAGGCAGCAGUAGGGAAUCUUCCACAAUGGACGAAAGUCUGAUGGAGCAACGCCGCGUGAACGAUGAAGGCCUUCGGGUCGUAAAGUUCUGUUGUAAGGGAAGAACAAGUGCCGCAGGCAAUGGCGGCACCUUGACGGUACCUUGCGAGAAAGCCACGGCUAACUACGUGCCAGCCGCCGCCGUAA
Molecule: ribosomal RNA, 524 nt
Filed under: uncultured bacterium
Lineage: Bacteria
Description: partial 16S ribosomal RNA
Rfam family: Bacterial small subunit ribosomal RNA
Source: RNAcentral